Prunus dulcis (almond) is the source of this 466-nucleotide long non-coding RNA. RefSeq lists it as uncharacterized. The transcript is spliced from 4 exons. The record is from RefSeq and is a predicted model, not a curated record. Lineage: Eukaryota; Viridiplantae; Streptophyta; Magnoliopsida; Rosales; Rosaceae.
UUCUGAUAUUUUGAUCUGAGACUGAGAGAGACUUCUCUGCUGAACUAUCUCGAUCUAGAGACGUCGGCUCAUUUCCAUCGGAGAUUCUGAGAUUUUGCUGCAAAAUGGAGGACAUGGGAGGCCGACAUGGACUAACGAUUCGAAGAUGGAGGUUUAUGGGGAGGCCAGCAUACGAACAGUCGUCGUCGUCGCCCUUGGUGUUCGCAUCACGAGGGAUCUGCGGGAACUUUGCAUGAAAUUUUCGAAAGCGUAGCAUCGAAGAAAUUUGUGCAUACGAACCGUCGUCGUCGGCCUUGGUGCUCUCGAUCUGCGAGAAAUUUGCAUGAAAUAUCGCAGAAGCUUGUCAUCGGCCUCGAUCUCCGAGACCUUGGCUGGGUUGCGUAAAGAGAAGCAUCUUCAGACCCAUUCAUUGCAUAGCUUCCACUUCCAGCGAAGAUCUUCAGCCCUUAUGUAAAGGUUGAAAAUG